AGUAUUUCCAUGACAUCCCAAGCCAUGAGGUUCAUGCUGCCAUAUCCCCCUGUUUAACAAGUGUGGAAACUGAUAAUGGACUCACAAUUGCUGAUGUAUAGGUUCUAAUGUUUUCUAUUGUGGACACGGGACACCCAGACUGAGAACCAAUGGCUCCAGUCUGAUUUAAACAUGGGUCCGUGCUCACACACUCAAUACCUACCCUCUGUGCUCACAAGUCCUGUGUGAGUAAGACUCCAAAUUAUUCUGUCUUGUUUUACUCAAUGGUAUGCUCUACCUUAUUAUAGAGUAUACCAUGUAUUGAGACAAGAAUGCCAGUCAUUCUGAGAAACAAAAUGCAACCAUUAGUUGUCAUUUUAAUUAGUGACGAAUAGUUGUGUCAAUCAUCAAACAUGCUUGUAUAAUUGGAUGAGAAGAGGUGUAACACGGGCCAAUGAUGACGAGGUUUCGGGAUUAUAAGUCACGGACGAUGACUACGUCACUAGAGGUCUGAGGUCCAUAGCAGAAGAUGCCUCAUGUGACCCUCUCAUGCAGGGGUUGCAUGUCAGGCAUGUGCAUACAGUAGAUAUUAGCCAUGCACUCUCACCAUUUCAUAGUAGAUCACAGAAUCAAGAUACAAAUCUCCAUGCACGGAAAGGAUUUAAGGCAUUGAUCAAUCCUGAACAUAAAUAUUUGGCCAUCAAUGAUAUUUACGCACACACUGAAAAAUCUAUUCAGAAUGACUUACACAAAGGUUUAUAUAACCUUUAUCAAAGGUAAUUUAUAUAGUAAGAUUCAUGGCUGAAGUCUUCAUGAUGGUCAAGGCCUUAAUUUUUAAAAUUAUCAAUUUUUUUCUUUUCUUUUUUUUUAACUUGAAUUUUUUUUUAAUGAAAACUAUCAUGACAAUUUGUCUCUUAAAUGAAAGGAGAAAUGUAAAACUAAAUGGACAAAUAUCAACCUUUUUAUUAUCUUUGCUGUUGUGCCCUCCCUGGAUGGGUGCUGGCACAUGAUGUCUUGCCUGCUGGUCCGUGGUUGCACUCUCACCAUGUGGAUGGAGCUCGGCAGCUGAAAAUGCAUUCUUCCACCAAGAUGAUUUACACAGCCUAGCUGGAUCAGGAGCCCCCUAAUAAGCUGCUUCAGAUUGUAAUAUAGACACAGUAAUGUAUGCCUGCAGGAUGAGUCCCACCUUCUUCAUUAGUCUUGAGGUUUGAGAUUCCCUGUUUGUGUCUGCAGGAUUCAGAUAGUGUGAGUAUAGUCUGUGUUCUUGUGUUGGAAUUCUUUUGCUUGCAUAAAAACAGGGUAGAAAAUAUUUCUGGGGCUGGUGAGAUGGCUCAGAGGUUGAGAGCACUGACUGUUCUCCCUGAUGUCCUGAGUUCAAUUCCCAGCAACCCCAUGGUGGCUCACAACCAUCUGUAAGGGCUCUGAUGCACUCUUCUGGUGUGUCUGAUGACAGCAGCAGUGUACUCCUGUUCCUAAAAUAAAUAAUUAUUUUAAAUACAUUAUUAUCUCUGAAGAGCAGAUGUAGCCAUAGGCAUAUAAGAUGUAUAUGAAGCACAAUGUUUAAUAAAAUUUUACCAAAUUAAGAUUGUGCAACAAUAGAGAUAGGCAUCAGUGCAGAAGAUCCCGUAGAGGUUUAACUGCACUCACGGAUCUUAUAGUUAGGGCUUGUCUCCAGUGGAGAUUUUCGCAAUGGUCCUAGUCAUCCAUUGCUCAAUAAUUUUACAUAGAUUAGUAGGGAAGAGGAGGACUGAUGUUGGAUCAAUGAUGAAUGUCUGUGAGCAUUCUUAGAGUCAUGAAUCAUGACGACAAAUUUAAUUCUGAGAUCAACAUCAUAAAGUAUCCAGUGACAGCUAUAAGAAGUAGUCUUCUUUUAUAAGUCAGUAAAUGUAAAUAAAAAUUGACUAGGAAGUCAUUUAAUCAAAAGGCAGCUCACAAAGAAGACUACAUAUAUGUAUAUAUGUAUAUAUGUAAGAAGAAAGUGUGACAGAGUAAUGACCAUGGAGGUGAGGGAUAAGAUGAAAUGAGCAGAAGCAGGCAGAAUACAUAGAUAAGCGAACGGAACAUCAAUCUCUUUAUAACCUCUUCUGUCUAUACUUCAAGAAUGGAUAUCCUGCAAGUCGGCUUCGUAGAGUCUCCCUUGAAAGUGGACCUCAUGAUCUAGCCUUUAUGUCCGUGGAUUGACACUGUGAUGGAUUCCCCCCAAGUUCAUUUAGAUAUUCUCUCUUAUUCAUAAAUGUCACGGUCAGCUCUGUUCUUAUAGAUACCAGAAUGGAUACCCCUAAGCUGAUGUAUAUACACCCUUCCUCGGUUGUGAGAUUCCUGCUCUGGUGGUUGUAGUCAUAAGAUAUACAUCGUUGCGUACACCUUGGUUGUGGGCACGCACACUACUGUUGAAUUACCACCUUGUCCAAGUGGAUGGAUGCCCUCAAUGGGAUUGGCACUUUCUCCAUUGCUCCUGCACUCUGUUAUCAGCACUUCGGGUUCAUAAUGUACACACAGCAAUGGAUUUUCUGCAGCUGAUUUUCUAUAUUCUGUUUUCUUCGGAACAGAUGCCUUCCUCACUGGUCACCAGGUUCAAGGUCCCUCAUAUGUGUCAGGUGCAUAGUCACCAACAAAGGCCAACUUCACAUCAAUGGGUGGAUCGUACCUCGGCCUAAGCUCCAGGAUUGAUUGUGCUGUUAGAGUCACAGCUACAACCGGCUCAGGGAACCCAGUGGAAGAGGAGGUGGAGUGUGAGAGCCAAUUGGAAUGGAAGACAGUGAGGAAACAAGGCCUUCGAGACACAAGAGGACUGCUGAGCUCACAAAGACUGAGGCAGCACCCUCAGGACCUGCACAGGUCUAAGCUUGAUGCGAUCUGAGUACUGAGAGGGCAACUGGACACAAUUCUAUAUUGAUAACCCAGAAGCUUUCUCCAGUUGAUAAACUCUUUCAAAGGAAAAACUUGUUUUCUACCAUGGAGUGACACUGGAUAUAGAAACUACCGUUAACAGCAGACUCCAUGGCUCAGACUUCCAAUACAAUAUGAACUCAGUUGCAAUUUUUUGCAAGGUUUUUCGACUCAUAGUUCUUUGUCUGGGUACUUUUUCACCCUACAGAGAAUUUCUGUAUAUAUUAUCGUUUCUGAUUCUAGUGUUUUGAAUUUUCGCUGGGUCUAAAUAUCUCUGUCUCAGUGUCAGUAUGUGUUUCUCAUGAUUUUUCUUUGCUUCUCUUUUUCCUAUUCUUUGCUUGUAUUCCCUGGUUUGUGUUUGAGUGUCUGGGAACUCUGAGGGUCUGGUUGGUGAUAUUGUUGUUCUUCCUAUGGGGUUGAAAACCCCUUCAGCUCCUUCAGCCUUUCACUAAGUCCUCCAUUAUUAUGAUUCCUAUGCUCAGUCCAGUGGUUGGAUGUGAGCCCCCCCCCCCCUCUGCAUUUGUCAGGCUCCGGCAGAGCCUCUAAGGAGAUAGCUAUAUUAGGCUCUUGUCAGCUUUGUUUGUUUUUAUUCUGUCUUCUCUAUACUGUUUAUUUUAGAUAACUGUGUUUAUUCUAAUGUAUGAAUGAAUAAAUGGGUGUGUGUUUGGGUGGGUGGGGAAUUGGGGAGGGUGGGGGUGGAUGUGGGAGGGGAAACUGUAACACAAAUACAUUGUAUAAAAGUACAUUUUAAUAAAUGUAUUUCUUCUAUGACUAAAAAAA
This 3648-nucleotide long non-coding RNA is filed under the name Mus musculus (house mouse). RNAcentral's name for it is "RNA imprinted and accumulated in nucleus". The stretch from base 427 to 500 matches the Rfam family "Small nucleolar RNA SNORD113/SNORD114 family". Lineage: Eukaryota; Metazoa; Chordata; Mammalia; Rodentia; Muridae. The record is from RNAcentral.